AUGACAUCUCCUUAAUCGGAGAGUUCCCUUCGGGGACAUUGGUGACAGGUGGUGCAUGGUUGUCGUCAGCUCGUGUCGUGAGAUGUUGGGUUAAGUCCCGCAACGAGCGCAACCCUUGUCUUUAGUUGCCAUCAUUAAGUUGGGCACUCUAGAGAGACUGCCAGGGAUAACCUGGAGGAAGGUGGGGAUGACGUCAAAUCAUCAUGCCCCUUAUGCUUAGGGCUACACACGUGCUACAAUGGGUAGUACAGAGGGUUGCCAAGCCGUAAGGUGGAGCUAAUCCCUUAAAGCUACUCUCAGUUCGGAUUGUAGGCUGAAACUCGCCUACAUGAAGCUGGAGUUACUAGUAAUCGCAGAUCAGAAUGCUGCGGUGAAUGCGUUCCCGGGUCUUGUACACACCGCCCGUCACACCACGGGAGUUGGAGACGCCCGAAGCCGA
Molecule: ribosomal RNA, 439 nt
Filed under: Clostridioides difficile
Lineage: Bacteria; Bacillati; Bacillota; Clostridia; Peptostreptococcales; Peptostreptococcaceae
Description: bacterial SSU rRNA
Rfam family: Bacterial small subunit ribosomal RNA
Source: RNAcentral